CUAUACAUGCAGUCGAGCGAACAGAUGAAGUGCUUGCACUUCUGACGUUAGCGGCGAACGGGUGAGUAACACGUAAGGAAUCUACCUAUAAGCGGGGGAUAACAUUCGGAAACGGGUGCUAAUACCGCAUAAUAUCUUCUUCCGCAUGGAAGAAGAUUGAAAGACGGCUCUGCUGUCACUUAUAGAUGACCUUGCGGUGCAUUAGUUAGUUGGUGGGGUAACGGCCUACCAAGACGAUGAUGCAUAGCCGACCUGAGAGGGUGAUCGGCCACAUUGGGACUGAGACACGGCCCAAACUCCUACGGGAGGCAGCAGUAGGGAAUCUUCCGCAAUGGGCGAAAGCCUGACGGAGCAAUGCCGCGUGAGUGAAGAAGGCCUUCGGGUCGUAAAACUCUGUUAUAAGAGAAGAACAAAUUGUAGAGUAACUGCUACAGUCUUGACGGUAUCUUAUCAGAAAGCCACGGCUAACUACGUGCCAGCAGCCGCGGUAAUACGUAGGUGGCAAGCGUUGUCCGGAUUUAUUGGGCGUAAAGGGAGCGCAGGUGGUUUCUUAAGUCUGAUGUGAAAGCCCACGGCUUAACCGUGGAGGGUCAUUGGAAACUGGGAAACUUGAGUACAGAAGAGGAAUGUGGAACUCCAUGUGUAGCGGUGGAAUGCGUAGAUAUAUGGAAGAACACCAGUGGCGAAGGCGACAUUCUGGUCUGUUACUGACACUGAGGCUCGAAAGCGUGGGGAGCAAACAGGAUUAGAUACCCUGGUAGUCCACGCCGUAAACGAUGAGUGCUAGGUG
RNAcentral lists this ribosomal RNA (790 nucleotides) under Aerococcus sp. C78-PCA-T3P21. RNAcentral describes it as "bacterial SSU rRNA". It matches the Rfam family "Bacterial small subunit ribosomal RNA", at positions 49 to 822 of the family's 1533-position model. Lineage: Bacteria; Bacillati; Bacillota; Bacilli; Lactobacillales; Aerococcaceae. The record is from RNAcentral.